GUUGAAGAUCCAAAAGGAGGAUGAAGAUCAGUUGCAGAAAAUGUCCCUAUCAAAGCAUGAAAUCAAUCAAAAAGGAUAAAAGGAACUGCUAUUAGCUAUAGUUAGAAUAGAAGAAGCACCUACUCAUGUUUUAUUAUCAAACACAAAUAAAAGACCAAACACAGAUAAUAAAACUUUUUAUAUAAUAUUAGCUAAACCACUCUAACCCUACAUCCUUUGUCUGUCACAGAACCAUCAAAAAUUUUCAUCCUUUGUCCCUUGAGACAGGCGAUUCAUUCAAUCAGAACAGAAAUUAAAAAGCAUCGCACUGUACAAGAUAUAUAUAUAUAUAUAUAUAUAUAUAUGUAUAUAUAUGUAUAUGCAUAUAUAUAUGUAUUAUAUAUAUACAUAUAUAUAUAUAUAUAUAUAUCGAUGAAGACCAACUACAGGUAGAGGAACCGAUUGAUGAGUCAUUUGAAAUGGUGCAAUGUUCAUCUUAUCUUCUACCAAGCAGCCCUCAGCACACCUUCACUACUAACAUUAA
This 523-nucleotide long non-coding RNA is filed under the name Vigna radiata. Its description in RNAcentral is "long non-coding RNA (VRAD_LNC016081)". The record is from RNAcentral. Lineage: Eukaryota; Viridiplantae; Streptophyta; Magnoliopsida; Fabales; Fabaceae.